RNAcentral lists this ribosomal RNA (126 nucleotides) under Pogona vitticeps (central bearded dragon). Lineage: Eukaryota; Metazoa; Chordata; Lepidosauria; Squamata; Agamidae. The record is from RNAcentral.
UGCUUUUCUCAUGCUGGGCUGCUCUGAACAGACUGAUCUUGUCCACUUUCUGAAGCUAAGCAGGAUCAGGUCAGGUUCGUACUUGGAUGGGAAACCGCCAGGGUGCUGUACGGAUAACAACGACAG